This is a non-coding RNA of Gossypium raimondii (Peruvian cotton), 138 nucleotides long. Lineage: Eukaryota; Viridiplantae; Streptophyta; Magnoliopsida; Malvales; Malvaceae. The record is from Rfam.
UGUUAAAAAUUUUAUUCAUUUUUAUUGAUAAAAAUUAACAUGAUUGAUAGAAUAACAAGACAAUGACACCUAACGUGUAACUCAUGUUGAUAUACAAAGACCAAUUUUUAAUAGUAGAAAUUGAUGAAACUUUUAAUA